This 1470-nucleotide ribosomal RNA is filed under the name Vibrio cholerae. RNAcentral describes it as "partial 23S ribosomal RNA". It matches the Rfam family "Bacterial large subunit ribosomal RNA", at positions 1 to 1531 of the family's 2925-position model. Lineage: Bacteria; Pseudomonadati; Pseudomonadota; Gammaproteobacteria; Vibrionales; Vibrionaceae. The record is from RNAcentral.
GGUUAAGUGACUAAGCGUACACGGUGGAUGCCUGGGCAGUCAGAGGCGAUGAAGGACGUACUAACUUGCGAUAAGCGCAGAUAAGGCAGUAAGAGCCGUUUGAGUCUGCGAUUUCCGAAUGGGGAAACCCAACUGCAUAAGCAGUUACUGUUAACUGAAUACAUAGGUUAACAGAGCAAACCGGGGGAACUGAAACAUCUAAGUACCCCGAGGAGAAGAAAUCAACCGAGAUUCCGGUAGUAGCGGCGAGCGAACCUGGAUUAGCCCUUAAGCACUCGGUGAAGUAGGUGAACAAGCUGGAAAGCUUGGCGAUACAGGGUGAUAGCCCCGUAACCGACGCUUCAUCGAGCGUGAAAUCGAGUAGGGCGGGACACGUGAUAUCCUGUCUGAAUAUGGGGGGACCAUCCUCCAAGGCUAAAUACUCCUGACUGACCGAUAGUGAACCAGUACCGUGAGGGAAAGGCGAAAAGAACCCCUGUGAGGGGAGUGAAAUAGAACCUGAAACCGUGUACGUACAAGCAGUAGGAGCACCUUCGUGGUGUGACUGCGUACCUUUUGUAUAAUGGGUCAGCGACUUAUAUUCAGUGGCAAGGUUAACCGUAUAGGGGAGCCGUAGCGAAAGCGAGUCUUAACUGGGCGCUCAGUCUCUGGAUAUAGACCCGAAACCGGGUGAUCUAGCCAUGGGCAGGUUGAAGGUUGAGUAACAUCAACUGGAGGACCGAACCGACUAAUGUUGAAAAAUUAGCGGAUGACUUGUGGCUAGGGGUGAAAGGCCAAUCAAACUCGGAGAUAGCUGGUUCUCCCCGAAAGCUAUUUAGGUAGCGCCUCGGACGAAUACUACUGGGGGUAGAGCACUGUUAAGGCUAGGGGGUCAUCCCGACUUACCAACCCUUUGCAAACUCCGAAUACCAGUAAGUACUAUCCGGGAGACACACGGCGGGUGCUAACGUCCGUCGUGGAGAGGGAAACAACCCAGACCGCCAGCUAAGGUCCCAAAGUAUUGCUAAGUGGGAAACGAUGUGGGAAGGCUCAGACAGCUAGGAUGUUGGCUUAGAAGCAGCCAUCAUUUAAAGAAAGCGUAAUAGCUCACUAGUCGAGUCGGCCUGCGCGGAAGAUGUAACGGGGCUAAGCAAUACACCGAAGCUGCGGCAAUGAAGUUUACUUCAUUGGGUAGGGGAGCGUUCUGUAAGCCGUUGAAGGUGAAUCGUAAGGUUUGCUGGAGGUAUCAGAAGUGCGAAUGCUGACAUGAGUAACGACAAAGGGGGUGAAAAACCUCCUCGCCGGAAGACCAAGGGUUCCUGUCCAACGUUAAUCGGGGCAGGGUGAGUCGACCCCUAAGGUGAGGCCGAAAGGCGUAAUCGAUGGGAAACGGGUUAAUAUUCCCGUACUUCUGACUAUUGCGAUGGGGGGACGGAGAAGGCUAGGUGGGCCAGGCGACGGUUGUCCUGGUUCAAGUGCGUAGGCUUGAGA